This is a non-coding RNA of Acanthosepion pharaonis, 106 nucleotides long. The record is from the annotation of a GenBank genome assembly. NCBI's taxonomy places the organism in Eukaryota, Metazoa, Mollusca, Cephalopoda, Sepiida, Sepiidae.
CGGCCACAUGACUUUGAAACACUGAUUCUCGAUUACCGAAGUUAAGCAACAUCGAGCCUGGACAGUUUUUAGAUGGGUGAUCGCUUGGGAAUACCAGGUGCUGUAA